CCCUUAGAGUUUGAUCCUGGCUCAGAACGAACGCUGGCGGCGUGUUUAAGACAUGCAAGUCGCACGGGAUCAAUUUUGUAGCAAUACACGGUUGGUUCAGUGGCGCACGGGUGAGUAACACGUGAAUAACAUGCCCUUCAGUGGGGAAUAGCCCAGGGAAACUUGGAUUAAUACCCCAUGGUAUCGCAAGAUUAAAGGUGGCCGCAAGGCUGUCGCUGAAGGAUUGGUUCGCGCCCUAUCAGCUUGUUGGUGAGGUAACGGCUCACCAAGGCUACGACGGGUACCUGGUCUGAGAGGACGAUCAGGCACACUGGAACUGAGACACGGUCCAGACACCUACGGGUGGCAGCAGUCGAGAAUAAUUCACAAUGGGGGCAACCCUGAUGGUGCAACGCCGCGUGGAGGAUGACGGUCUUCGGAUUGUAAACUCCUGUCAUCCGGGAGUAAGACCUGGCUGUGAAUAGCAGACAGGGUUGAUAGUACCGGAAGAGGAAGGGACGGCUAACUUCGUGCCAGCAGCCGCGGUAAUACGAAGGUCCCGAGCGUUGUUCGGAAUCACUGGGCGUAAAGGGAGCGUAGGCGGCGUGGUAAGUCAGAUGUGAAAUCCCGGGGCUCAACCCCGGAACUGCAUCCGAUACUGCCGUGCUAGAGGAUUGGAGAGGUAGCUGGAAUUCUUGGUGUAGCAGUGAAAUGCGUGGAGAUCAAGAGGAACACUCGUGGCGAAAGCGAGCUACUGGACAAUAUCUGACGCUGAGCUC
Molecule: ribosomal RNA, 758 nt
Filed under: uncultured bacterium
Lineage: Bacteria
Description: bacterial SSU rRNA
Rfam family: Bacterial small subunit ribosomal RNA
Source: RNAcentral